This 431-nucleotide ribosomal RNA is filed under the name uncultured bacterium. RNAcentral's name for it is "bacterial SSU rRNA". It matches the Rfam family "Bacterial small subunit ribosomal RNA", at positions 28 to 449 of the family's 1533-position model. The record is from RNAcentral.
GAUGAACGCUGGCGGCGUGCUUAACACAUGCAAGUCGAACGAAGCACUUCAUAAAGCUUGCUUUAAGAAGUGACUUAGUGGCGGGCGGGUGAGUAACGCGUGGGUAACCUGCCUUACACAGGGGGAUAACAGUUAGAAAUGACUGCUAAUACCGCAUAAAACAGCAGAGUCGCAUGACUCAACUGUCAAAGAUUUAUCGGUGUAAGAUGGACCCGCGUCUGAUUAGCUUGUUGGUGGGGUAACGGCCUACCAAGGCGACGAUCAGUAGCCGGCCUGAGAGGGUGAACGGCCACAUUGGGACUGAGACACGGCCCAAACUCCUACGGGAGGCAGCAGUGGGGAAUAUUGGACAAUGGGCGAAAGCCUGAUCCAGCGACGCCGCGUGAGCGAUGAAGUAUUUCGGUAUGUAAAGCUCUAUCAGCAGGGAAGAA